CAAACCCGCUUGACCGUUUUCCCUCUCCCUUUCAUUUAAAGACCUAGACCUAAAUACACAGAUCUUGGACCCCAAGCAACAGAGGGCACCGCUGCUCAGCUUCUUCUUCUUCUUCACAUAAAAACACACAUAUUAGAGAUUGGAGGGCGGCCUCCCAUCUGCUUCGACACCAACAAAAAGCAUGUCAUCUCCUCCCCUAUUUGGAUUUCUCUAAAGAACAGAGAACAAAUCGAACCCCCUUCCAUCUCCGAACCAAAAAAAACCAGUAGCAGUACCCUCGUCCGUCCACCCCCUUUAACCUGAAAUCGACCCCAAAAACCACCAGCCUCAACCCUCAGUUUCCACCCAAAAACCCACCGGAACGGACUACCCCCAAAACGCAUGAAAUCAGUUCCAAAUAUUGCAGCAAACCAGCUGCGAAAAUAGCAGAAACGCGGCUGUAAAUCAGCACAAAAGCGCUCAAGAACAGUCCAAUGUCACGUCUGUUCCGUUUCUUCUCUUCGAUUUUGAUUUUUUGUUUCAUAAUGGACUUGAGUUUUGACAGAAUUUGAUGUGUUCGGGUUUGAUAUUGGCGAGAGCUUUUUGUGAGUUUUGUUUUUUCUUUCUGGGUUAAAGUCGAGUUCAUAGCUGUCUCGCUGAGUUCGAAUCUGUUGCGGCUGAGUUUUCAUCCUUGUUGUUUUUCACAUACUGGCCCUUAUUUGGUUCACCUUUCUUGUUUGCCUUAGUUGAGAGGUACACAACUGUAAACUUACACUUUUCUGGUUGAAUUAAUUGAAAUUGGCUCAUGUUCAUUCCCUACUCCUAUUUUCUUUUACGAUCUUGAUGAAUUGGACAUUGUUAAUUUGUUUAUGAAAGAGUGACUGGGAUCCACAUAUGUUAAUACUGAGUUUGUGGUUGUUUUGUUGUCUAAAUUGUUGAUAAGCAUUCUUCAUAUCCAUGACCAUAAACUAAUGAUUAUACUGAUUUUGGAAAGUUGGUUCAGUGUUUUAUUGAUGGGUCGCCGUAUAGUUGCUUUGUAAAAUCAAAUGUUGUCGUGUGGUUUAAAAUAGCCAUGAUUCAAGCUUGUUUGUAAUUGUUAUUUUACACGGUCGUGUAGUAACUCUUCGGACGAUGAAUUUGCUACAGGGUUGUUUCUAUUACCAACUCAGACAAUAGUUGAAUCUUGAAUUUCAUUGUAUCAUAUUCAUAUAUAUUAUUUAUCCAAAUGUGGGCCACUUGGAGUAAAGAAUCCUAAUUUGAACUUUUAUUUUCCUUUGAGACUAAGGUUUGCUUUAUGGUAAGGGGAUUUGUAAUAGUAACUGUAUCAGUUGGUAUGGCAAGAAUUGGUAGAAGAAUUUGUGAAAUUAGAAGUGAGAAGAUGUAAUAUUGGUAAAAUGGCGUUUGUUUUUUGACUGCUAAUGUUUCUGAUUGUUGACUUCAAGAAUGAGCUAUUUCUUAGCUUUUGUACUUCUCUAUAGACCAUCGGACAUUUAUGGGAAGCUUGGUAUGAUAUUUUGAGAUUUCCUCUUAUAAUGUUUCUUGUUUCCCUCUUGAUUGCAUGGAUAAUUUUGGGUGCUCUUUUAUGUGCAUUUAAAUCUUGAAGAGAUGAAGUUGUUUACGACAGGCAUUGCCAUGAAUUUUAAUUGUCUCAUAAGCUUGUGUUGAUCAUUUUGCCUUAGCCGAUUAGCAUAAUAAAAUAAUAAUUUGAGGCGUGCCAUGCCAAACAAAAUCUUAAAACUCAUGGCCCUCACUUAAUUAAGUUUAACUCUUUAGAAAACAAGGUGUGCCAUUAGUGAAUUUUUCAUGGCCCUCGCAAACUUGAAAGUGUGUAGUUUCUUUAGGCGCUCAAUUUAAAUUAAUUUCCUUAAACUCGGGUGUGCAUUUCAUGUUACCCAAAUCCAAAUCUCAACAACGUUAAAUAAAUUGUAUCAUGAACUGCGGGUGCAUUUCAUGUGACGUGGUUCAAGGCGAUUUUUAAAUAAUGUUUAAUCUUUCUAAUAAUUAAUUAAAGCGGUUAUAAAGUUAAAAUUGAACCAUAUGUUAAAACAUGUAUUAAAAUAAAUUAAUAGGCCAAUUAUAACAUUUGAGCGACCGUGCUAGAACCAAGGAACCCAUCCACUGGUUAACAGAAUUCCUUACCCGAAUUUCUGUGUUCGCAGACUGUAAAACAGUCAAUCUUUUCCUCGAUUUGAGAUUCUAAACCGGUGACUGGGGACACCAUAAAUUAUCCCAAGUGACGACUCUUAAUUUUUAAUAAAAUGAUCUCAUUUUGAUUGUCACUUUAAGUUGAAAAAAACUCUCUUAUACCCUUCUGAAGGUAGGAAAAAAGAGGUGUGACAGAAGUUCGAGGUAAGCGUUUGGUCUAACUUUAGCUUGAGGGAUUAAGAGUUGUGUCCUAUUUGCUAUUUGUUUCUUGUUGAGUACGACGUAUAGGCAUGGUGACGAGUAUCUAUACGUUGGUGUUGAGCAUGGCCGUGAGUCUUAUAUUGUGAUUUCAUGACUUCAUUGUAUUAUUCAUGUUUUGGUGAGGAUUUCCAUUUGUUGUGUAAUGUCGUGGAAAGAAUUGUAACCUAUGAACAUUGAGGAGUGUUGGCUCCAGUUGUAUAACGAAUUGUGAAAGUAUAAGUGAUAAUUGAACCUCUAGAGUAUUGGCUCGAGUUGUGAAGUGAAUUGUGAAGUAAAAGUGAGAAAGAGAAGAGAUCAUUAUGUUGCCCCCUUGACGGGCUAUUGUUGAGUUGUGGUUCCCUUGCAUUGUAUUCUUAAUUGAUACUCCCUCCGUUUUAAUUUAUGUGAACUCAUUUGGCUGGGCACAAAGUUUAAGAAAAUAGAGAAGAUUUUUGAUCUUGUGGUGUAAAAUGAGGCACAUAUAUUUUGUGUGGCUAUAAAUCAUUGUGUAAAGGUAAAUUAUUUCUAAAUAAGGAAAGGGGUCUUUUUUUUUGGCACGGACGAAAAAGAAAAUAGGUUCACAUAAAUUGAAACAGAGGGAGUAUUACGGAUGCCUAGGUUGAUGACUCUUUGUGUUGGGUAAGGAUUAUGAUUCUCGGGGCAAGAAGUUUGGUUAUAGAUGAGGUAGUUAGAUGUUGUAAUUGGUUAUAGUUGUUUCUCCCUUGCCGGGACAUAAUUAUUUAUGCUGUCGAAUCCCUUGUCAGGAUAGUGUAGAUCUUAUUGAUCCCUCGUC
Molecule: long non-coding RNA, 3157 nt
Filed under: Nicotiana tabacum (common tobacco)
Lineage: Eukaryota; Viridiplantae; Streptophyta; Magnoliopsida; Solanales; Solanaceae
Description: long non-coding RNA (NTAB_LNC005142)
Source: RNAcentral